This 63-nucleotide transfer RNA is filed under the name Rattus norvegicus (Norway rat). It matches the Rfam family "tRNA". From Rfam's summary of the family: Transfer RNA (tRNA) molecules are approximately 80 nucleotides in length. Lineage: Eukaryota; Metazoa; Chordata; Mammalia; Rodentia; Muridae. The record is from Rfam by way of RNAcentral.
GGGGAUUUAGCUCAGUGGUAGAGCGCUUGCCUAGCAAACACAAGGCCCUAGGUUCAGUCCCCA